UGGGGAAUAUUGCACAAUGGAGGAAACUCUGAUGCAGCGAUGCCGCGUGAGGGAAGAAGGUUUUCGGAUUGUAAACCUCUGUGUACAGGGACGAUAAUGACGGUACCUGUUCAGAAAGCUCCGGCUAACUACGUGCCAGCAACCGCGGUAAUACGUAGGGAGCGAGCGUUGUCCGGAAUUACUGGGUGUAAAGGGAGUGUAGGCGGGACGGCAAGUCAGAUGUGAAAUUUAGGGGCUCAACCCCUGACCUGCAUUUGAAACUGCUGUUCUUGAGUGAAGUAGAGGCAAGCGGAAUUCCUAGUGUAGCGGUGAAAUGCGUAGAUAUUAGGAGGAACAUCAGUGGCGAAGGCGGCUUACUGGGCUUUAACUGACGCUGAGGCUCGAAAGCGUGGGGAGCAAACAGGAUUAGAUACCCUGGUAGUCCACGCCGUAAACGAUGAUUACUAGGUGUGGGGGGACUGACCCCUUCCGUGCCGCAGUUAACACAAUAAGUAAUCCACCUGGGGAGUACGGUCGCAAGACUGAAACUCAAAGGAAUUGACGGGGGCCCGCACAAGCAGUGGAGUAUGUGGAUUAAUUCGAAGCAACGCGAAGAACCUUACCAGGUCUUGACAUCGAUCGAAUCCGAAAGAGAUUUUGGAGUGCCCUUCGGGGAACGUGAAGACAGGUGGUGCAUGGUUGUCGUCAGCUCGUGUCGUGAGAUGUUGGGUUAAGUCCCGCAACGAGCGCAACCCUUAUUGCCAGUUACUACGUUAAGAGGACUCUGGCGAGACUGCCGUUGACAAAACGGAGGAAGGUGGGGAUGACGUCAAAUCAUCAUGCCCUUUAUGACCUGGGCUACACACGUACUACAAUGGCGUUAAACAAAGAGAAGCAAGACCGCGAGGUGGAGCAAAACUCAAAAACAACGUCUCAGUUCAGAUUGCAGGCUGCAACUCGCCUGCAUGAAGUCGGAAUUGCUAGUAAUCGCGGAUCAGCAUGCCGCGGUGAAUACGUUCCC
Molecule: ribosomal RNA, 1000 nt
Filed under: uncultured bacterium
Lineage: Bacteria
Description: bacterial SSU rRNA
Rfam family: Bacterial small subunit ribosomal RNA
Source: RNAcentral